UAGUGGCCUACCAAGGCGACGACGGGUAGCCGGCCUGAGAGGGUGACCGGCCACACUGGGACUGAGACGCGGCCCAGACUCCUACGGGAGGCAGCAGUGGGGAAUAUUGCGCAAUGGGCGAAAGCCUGACGCAGCGACGCCGCGUGGGGGAUGACGGCCUUCGGGUUGUAAACCUCUUUCAGCAGGGACGAAGCGAAAGUGACGGUACCUGCAGAAGAAGCACCGGCCAACUACGUGCCAGCAGCCGCGGUAAUACGUAGGGUGCAAGCGUUGUCCGGAAUUAUUGGGCGUAAAGAGCUCGUAGGCGGUUCGUCGCGUCGGCUGUGAAAACCUGAGGCUCAACCUCAGGCCUGCAGUCGAUACGGGCGGACUUGAGUACUGCAGGGGAGACUGGAAUUCCUGGUGUAGCGGUGAAAUGCGCAGAUAUCAGGAGGAACACCGGUGGCGAAGGCGGGUCUCUGGGCAGUAACUGACGCUGAGGAGCGAAAGCGUGGGGAGCGAACAGGAUUAGAUACCCUGGUAGUCCACGCCGUAAACGUUGGGCGCUAGGUGUGGGGGCCAUUCCACGGUCUCCGUGCCGCAGCUAACGCAUUAAGCG
RNAcentral lists this ribosomal RNA (598 nucleotides) under uncultured bacterium. RNAcentral's name for it is "bacterial SSU rRNA". It matches the Rfam family "Bacterial small subunit ribosomal RNA", at positions 258 to 866 of the family's 1533-position model. The record is from RNAcentral.